This 712-nucleotide long non-coding RNA is filed under the name Nicotiana tabacum (common tobacco). Its description in RNAcentral is "long non-coding RNA (NTAB_LNC000483)". Lineage: Eukaryota; Viridiplantae; Streptophyta; Magnoliopsida; Solanales; Solanaceae. The record is from RNAcentral.
CUUUCAGCCAGCAUUAGAGUUUUAAAAUCUAAACAGAGCUCUUCCAUGCAAUCAGCAUUAGGGUUUUAAACCCUAAACUGAAUUUUCCUUUUAGUCAGCAUUAGGGUUUUUAAAACCCUAAACUAAACUUUUUCCUUUCAGCCAGCAUUAGAGUUUUAAACUCUAAACUGAGCUUUUCCAUGCAAUCAGCAUUAGGGUUUUAAACCCUAAACUGAAUUUUCCUUUUAGUCAGCAUUAGGGUUUUAAACCCUAAACUGAACUUUUCCCUUUCAGCCAGCAUUAGAGUUUUAAACUCUAAACUGAGCUCUUCCAUGCAAUCAGCAUUAGGGUUUUAAACCCUAAACUGAAUUUUCCUUUUAGUCAGCAUUAGGGUUUUAAACCCUAAACUGAACUUUUUCCUUUUCAGCCAGCAUUAGAGUUUUAAACUCUAAACUGAGCUUUUCCAUCCAAUCAGCAUUAGGGUUUUAAACCCUAAACUGAAUUUUCCUUUUAGUCAGCAUUAGGGUUUUAAACCCUAAACUGAACUUUUUUCCUUUUCAGCCAGCAUUAGAGUUUUAAACUCUAAACUGAGCUUUUCCAUGCAAUCAGCAUUAGGGUUUUAAACCCUAAACUGAAUUUUUCUUUUAGUCAGCAUUGGGGUUUUAAACCCUAAACUGAACUUUUUCCUUUCAGCCAGCAUUAGAGUUUUAAACUCUAAACUGAGCUUUUCCAU